Molecule: ribosomal RNA, 301 nt
Filed under: uncultured bacterium
Lineage: Bacteria
Description: partial 16S ribosomal RNA
Rfam family: Bacterial small subunit ribosomal RNA
Source: RNAcentral
CAGUCGCCGCGGUAAUACGAAGGGGGCUAGCGUUGUUCGGAUUUACUGGGCGUAAAGCGCACGUAGGCGGAUCGAUCAGUCAGGGGUGAAAUCCCAGAGCUCAACUCUGGAACUGCCUUUGAUACUGUCGAUCUGGAGUAUGGAAGAGGUGAGUGGAAUUCCGAGUGUAGAGGUGAAAUUCGUAGAUAUUCGGAGGAACACCAGUGGCGAAGGCGGCUCACUGGUCCAUUACUGACGCUGAGGUGCGAAAGCGUGGGGAGCAAACAGGAUUAGAUACCCCCGUAGUCCCUGUCUCUUAUAA